This 253-nucleotide ribosomal RNA is filed under the name uncultured bacterium. RNAcentral describes it as "partial 16S ribosomal RNA". It matches the Rfam family "Bacterial small subunit ribosomal RNA", at positions 524 to 776 of the family's 1533-position model. The record is from RNAcentral.
UACGUAGGGUCCGAGCGUUGUCCGGAGUUACUGGGCGUAAAGCGCGCGCAGGCGGCUCGUCAAGUCUGGCGUGAAAGCCCCCGGCUCAACCGGGGAGGGUCGUCGGAGACUGGCGAGCUUGAGGGCGGUAGGGGCUGGUGGAAUUCCCGGUGUAGUGGUGAAAUGCGUAGAGAUCGGGAGGAACACCCGUGGCGAAGGCGGCCAGCUGGGCCGAUACUGACGCUGAGGAGCGAAAGCGUGGGGAGCGAACAGG